Mesocricetus auratus (golden hamster) is the source of this 4312-nucleotide long non-coding RNA. RefSeq lists it as uncharacterized. The record is from RefSeq and is a predicted model, not a curated record. Lineage: Eukaryota; Metazoa; Chordata; Mammalia; Rodentia; Cricetidae. The transcript is spliced from 2 exons.
CAGGCCAGGACUCUCCCUCUUCCUCUUCCAAACAUGGCACAAAGAAGCUCUUUAACUGCCUGGGCAGAGAGUUGUUCCUGGAUGCUGGGAGAGCGGAAAGGACUGUCCCACACAGUCUCUCAAGUUUCAUCCGCUCAUUAUGAGUUGCUGAGCAUGAGAAGAUGUUGCUCCAAAAGUGUGAAGUGCUGCCGGGCAUUGGUGGCACACGCCUUUAAUCCCAGCACUCAGGAGGCAGAGGCAGGUGGAUCUCUGUGAGUUCGAGGCCAGCCUGGUCUACAGAGCGAGUUCCAGGACAGUCAGAGCUACACAGAGAAACCUUUUCUCAAAGAACUAAACAAAAAUAACAACAAAAAGUGUGACAUGUUAGACUCGAUGGAUAAAUGCUGAUGAUCUUCUGUAGGGCACUGUGUAGUUCAUGAUCCUGUACUGAGAACUUGACAAUUGAUGAUCUUCUGUAAGGCACUGUGAAUGUGGUUCAUGAUCCUGUAUUGAGAACUUGACAAUUGAUGAUCUUCUGUAAGGCACUGUGAAUGUAGUUCAUGAUCCUGUAUUGAGAACUUGACAAUUGAUGAUCUUCUGUAAGGCACUGUGAAUGUAGUUCAUGAUCCUGUAUUGAGAACUUGACAAUUGAUGAUCUUCUGUAAGGCACUGUGAAUGUGGUUCAUGAUCCUGUAUUGAGAACUUGACAAUUGAUGAUCUUCUGUAAGGCACUGUGAAUGUGGUUCAUGGUCCUGUACUGAGAACUUGACAAUUGAUGAUCUUCUGUAAGGCACUGUGAAUGUAGUUCAUGAUCCUGUAUUGAGAACUUGACAAUUGAUGAUCUUCUGUAAGGCACUGUGAAUGUAGUUCAUGAUCCUGUACUGAGAACUUGACAAUUGAUGAUCUUCUGUAAGGCACUGUGAAUGUGGUUCAUGAUCCUGUACUGAGAACUUGACAAUUGAUGAUCUUCUGUAAGGCACUGUGAAUGUGGUUCAUGAUCCUGUAUUGAGAACUUGACAAUUGAUGAUCUUCUGUAAGGCACUGUGAAUGUAGUUCAUGAUCCUGUACUGAGAACUUGACAAUUGAUGAUCUUCUGUAAGGCACUGUGAAUGUGGUUCAUGAUCCUGUACUGAGAACUUGACAAUUGAUGACUGACCACCCAUAUUGUCAGGGCUUGGGAGGAAGAGGUAGUAGGAGAAUCUUAAGUUCAAGGUCUUCCUUGGCUCUAUUGUGGGUUAGAGGCCAGUCUAGGCUCCAAGAGAUCCUGUCACACACAAGACCAAGAAAGUCACCUUCAAAUAAAAUCUGAAAAACAAACAAAACAAAACCCAACUUAAACCAUAUCAAAACAACAACAAAAAGAAAAAUGAGAAAAUUGCCGAGGAACCCUGCCUAUCAUCUCCUUUCUGCCUUUCCCUUCCUCCUUUACUUUUUCUGACCUAAAAUGUAGGACCUGUAUCAGUGGCUCUGAACCUUCCUAAUGCCGCAGCCCUUUAACACAGUUCCUUAUGUCGUGAGCCCCCACUUACAACAUUUUCAUUGCCACUUCAUAACAGUAAUUUUGCUACAGUAAUGAAUCAUAAUGUAAACAUCUGUGUCUUCCGAUGGUCUUAGGUGACCCCUAGGCUCCCAGGUUGAGAACCACUGUUAGGGAUUGUGCCCGGACUCCAGGGCCAGCUUCCUAGCUCAGAGCCUCACGUCUAGGCAGGUUCUCAACCUGGAAGCCACACCCCCAGCCCCCACAGCUCUAUAGCAGCAGUUUCUUCGCAAGGCUACGGGCGGUGCUGCUUUCAUCUCUCCCCGGUUCAUAGAAGGCGAUUGCCCAUGCUCCAGUAGAUAAGCCCAGUUGUGCACAGUUUCUUCCAAAAUGGAAACAUUCCACCCUAUAGGGAAGCUCCUUAAGCAGAAAGCCAAACAACUCAAACUAGUUCCUGGGAGUCCGUGAAGCUGACCAGAUUCACUGCGACCCUCCCUGCCGGAGUGAACAAUCAAAGGUGGGUGACCAUUUCAGAGAGGAGCCGAGAUGCAGAGUAAAGACGACUCUGGAAAAAGACAGAAACCAGCCGAGCUGCCUGGAAGAGGUUUAUAUCAACCGAGGAACCUGGAAAGGACGCUCUCCAGCCUGCUGAGCUGCCCGCAGGCUGUGCAGUGAGCUCCAGGUCCCCAGCUUUUGUGAGCAGUCACCCAUGCUGGGGUGGGCUUUGUUGGUGCAGCUGUCUCAGAGUCAUUUCUGCUCCCGUAAGUAAUCCUUCACCUACAUUCUUGUAAGUAACCCCAAUACGACUCAUCGGUUCACCAAGUUGGUUCACUUUGGUGGUUCCCUGAAUUGGGAUGAAUAGAUGUGUAUGUUAGGUUUUCCCAGGAAAAGUUUCGUCAAGCCCACACUCAUGCUCAUACAGUCAACCCCAGUCAAACUCAGCGAGUCAUAAGUUGAAAGAAACACUUGCUGAAAGAAAGAAUGAAAAAGAAAAUAAAUCGUUGAGAGACAUUUUAAAUGUUUACCUCACAGGCUAUGAUUACUAACGUGCUAAAUUUUAGGAAUCCACAGCAGGAUCCACAGUGCCACCUAGCGGGAAUAAUCUGAAACUGCAACAGAAUCUACCUCUGAGGCAGCAAUGUCUUGCCUGAAACAUGCUUGGAGAGGGGCCUGACCAGGCUGCCAGGAGGUAUCUAUUAUCUGCCUUAGAGAGCAUCCAGGGGUAAAAGGAAUUCCUUCUCACCAGGGAAUCAGCAGUAGGAGCUGCAGCCUCCGGAUCCCACACUGCACAGCCUUAGUUUUUCCCUUUGAUACAGCAUGAAUUGCAAGUCGCAUGCUCCCAGAGACUUAAGUUUGCCAGGAUGUUUUGCAAGUCAUGUCCACAGGAGAGCCAUGAGGAACCUGAUUUUCUCAAGACCUUCCCGCCUGCUGUCUAGGUCCUAGCCUGGACCCCAAGAGAGCAUUGAGGCCGGAGCUUGAAUGCACUCAAUAGUGCACACUAAUGUUUAUUGGUGCUGAAUUCACCAUAGAAUACACUAAGAAAAUGGAAACAGCUUGCUAUCGACUACCUUGUAUGCUAAUUCACUUAUUUCCAUUAAAACACUUAUGGCUCUCUCUCUCUCUCUCUCUCUCUCUCUCUCUCUCUCUCUCUCUGUGCGUGUGCACGUGCUUGUGUGGAGGUUAGAAGACCUCUUUGUACAGUCUGUUCUCUUCACCUUAUAGGUUCUGGAGACUGAACUCUGGUCAUCUAUCUUGGCAUCUUUACCUACUGAACCAUCUGGCUCAGCCCUUGAAUGCUAAUUUCAACAAGAAAUGUGAAGAAUGGGAGGAGGCCUCUUGGCCAACUUGGAUUUACCACCAUAUUCCUGCCAUGCCUGUAGAGACCCAUCUAAGACUUUGCUCUUUGGCCACAAAGGGAAUGGGUGUCUUGGGCUCUGUAGAAGGCACCGGGUUUGAGUUACAGUAAUUCAAGGAAGGUCGGAGAAAGGAGUAGAAAGAACUGGAUUGCAGGCUGGUCUGACAUAGGCAAAGUGAGAAUCCAGACAGUAACUGCCCUGGAAAUCCCGAUAUCCUCUGUACCCAUGACUUCUUUUUUUUUUUUUUUUUGAGACAGGGUUUCUCUGUAUUGUUUUGAAGGCUGUCCUGGAAUCGGCUCUGUAGACCAGGCUGGCCUCGAACUCACAGAGAUCCACCUGCCUCUGCCUCCCGAGUGCUGGGAUACCCAUGACUUCUUAAUCUGCAAGCUCUAUUUACUGUGAAUUGAAAAUAAUUUUAAAAAGAUUGCACCUGUAACAAUUCCCUCUUGUAAUUAUUCUUCAAAUUGUAUAGAAAAGCAUUUACUCAUACAACAUUUAAAUUGUAAGUCAUCUAGAAAUGAUUUAAACUAUAUGAGAAGAUGUAGAUGGGUUAUAUGUAAUGCGCCUGUUUUGUUUAUAUGGGAGUCUGUGUACACAUUUGGGUGGGUGGAUUUGGGUGCACACAUGCCACAGUGUGCAGAGGACAGUCUUGGGUGUUUGCAGAAAACCAUGGAGUUGGCUUGGCCUAGCUGCCCUGAGAGGCCAUGUGUCAUAAGUUUCUCAAGUUAGAGUUCGUGGCUCCUGAGGCACAAUGUGCCUUCUAGCUCCUGAGAGAACAAUGCACUCCUUCAGGCUGUGAAACAUUCAGGUGUUUCUCUGUAUGUUCCCUUAGUAGUCAAGGAAGCAUGAAGGCUUGACAGGACAAUUGGUCCUAGACAUUAGUGUUGUGUACUCUGUAUACCUUGCAAGCAUCAUUAUAUACUGGCAACAACAACUGUAUUGAUCUUGGCAAUUGCCAUUAUAUUUUGUUUCUAAUAAAGGUAUAUGUUGUGGAGUGUUA